This 524-nucleotide long non-coding RNA is filed under the name Papio anubis (olive baboon). Its description in RNAcentral is "lncRNA (ENSPANG00000048003.1)". Lineage: Eukaryota; Metazoa; Chordata; Mammalia; Primates; Cercopithecidae. The record is from RNAcentral.
AUGUUGCCCAGCUGGUCUCAAACUACUGGCUUCAAGUCAUACCUCCAUUUCAGCCUCCCAAAUUUCUGGGAUUACAGGUGUGAGCCACAGUGCCUGGUUCCUGCUUAUUCCUUUCUUAUUUUCUUCCUUUAUUUCUUUUUUACACAGAUACUCAUGAAGACUUACAAUGUGCCAUUUCCCCGUGAAUAUUUCGGAAUACUCUUUCCUACACAGAGAGUUUUAAAACUCAUCCAAACAGUUGAAGACACUCUCAAGGAAUUACAGCAAAAGAUUGCUGGAAGUCUGUCCUUCAUACCUGAGGAAAGUUAUGUGAAGAGCCUUUUAAGACAAAAAGAGGAAACAGAAGACUUGAGCAAUACUACAAAUCAACAAGAUUUAACUGAUACAGAGCAUUCCACCCAAAAACAGCAGAAACUUACUUUCCCAAUGUAUAUUAAACAUUACUCAGGAUAGGACACAUGAAGAUUAUAAAACAAGUUUCAACAAAAUUUUAUAGUUUGAAAUCAUAAGAAGUGUCUUCUCUA